Molecule: long non-coding RNA, 495 nt
Filed under: Gossypium raimondii (Peruvian cotton)
Lineage: Eukaryota; Viridiplantae; Streptophyta; Magnoliopsida; Malvales; Malvaceae
Description: long non-coding RNA (GRAI_LNC009569)
Source: RNAcentral
UUAAACAAAUCGAGUUAUUCGAAUCAACUCGAAUUUUUUUUUAAAUUUCAAGUUCGAAUCAAGUUGAGUUUUCAAAUUCAAAUAACUCGAAUAAUUCGAAUAUCAAACUAUAAUAUUUUACAUUUUUACCCCAAACUCCCAAACCUUUUUACUUUUCCCUCAAAACUUUUACUCCUUCCCACUUUCCCCCAAAACUUUUACUCCCCUCCCAACCCCCCAAUCUACCCAAAAUCCAUUUCCCACCAAAAUUUUACUCCCAAAAACCCUCAAAACCUUUUACUUUCCCCCAAAAUUUUUACUCUCUCCCACUUUUUCCCUAAAACUUUUAUUCCCUUCCCAUCCCACCUCUCAUCUACCCCAAACCCUCCCCCCUCCAAAUUUUUUUUAAUAUUUUCCCUCCAAAAUUUUACUCUCCCUAUUUACUUUCCCUCAAACUUUUAUUCCCCAAAACUUUUUAUUUUCCCCCUAAACUUUUACUUCUCACCCUUUACUCUC